UUUACAAAAGCAAAGUAACAAUUUACUUAAAGGUAUCUGCAUAAGAGUGACAUGACACUGCCAUGAACACAUGACACUGUCACAACACUGUCAUGACACAUGAACACUGACCCUAACGCUUAACCCUAAC
Molecule: long non-coding RNA, 130 nt
Organism: Etheostoma spectabile (orangethroat darter)
Lineage: Eukaryota; Metazoa; Chordata; Actinopteri; Perciformes; Percidae
Exons: 3
Source: RefSeq, a predicted model, not a curated record